Podarcis lilfordi (Lilford's wall lizard) is the source of this 96-nucleotide non-coding RNA. The record is from the annotation of a GenBank genome assembly. NCBI's taxonomy places the organism in Eukaryota, Metazoa, Chordata, Lepidosauria, Squamata, Lacertidae.
CCCCCAGCUGUUUGGGGACUACAACUCCCAUCAUCCCUAGCUAACGGGAUCAGUAGUCAGGGAUGAUGGGAACUGUAGUCCCAAAACAGCUGGAGG